UCCCUGGGGUAGUAUAGUUCUGUCCGACCCCCAGUGCAGAGUGGUGGCUAAAGAAUGCCACAACUGAGUCCCUAUUGUUGUGUUCCUUGUCCACUCCCUGUAUCUAUUCUUCCUAUUAUUCUUAUUAUUAUACCCUAUCCAUUUCUAAGGCUCUGUUCGCCUGGGAACGCUAAGCAGAGUGUCAAAAGUAAAACUAUGGUAACUGUCAAAUUAUAAAACAGCCUGAAGUACAAAAUGACACCGAAAUUAUUAUAAAGCUGUCUUUUAAAAAUAUAAAUCUCACACUAACUUAAUAUAAUUGACAGUUUUAUGUUUCUUGUAAUUGUUUUCUUACUCAAAUCUUUUAUAUAGGGAUUAAUUGUCCUCCAGCAUAUGACAGUGGAUUAAUCAUUUAUGAAAGUACAUUCUCUCUCUCUAAAUCAGAGCUGUGAACCUCGAAUUGCCGGGCAAGGGCUAGGACUGGGUGAUUCUUUCUUUCCAGGCUGCUGGAACUCCCUCUUGUGAACAAAGUAUGACUUCCCUCUUUCAGAACAAAGUAACUUAAAGAAAUGGAUAAAAAAAUAGCCAGGGGAUCAGGCUUGACAGUUUCACAGCAUUUCCUAUAGUGUUUUUUAUUUUUUAUUUUCCCUUCUAUAAACCCAUAAGAAAGGAGCAUCUGUAAAGUCAGUUCUCAGAUGAACGUCCUUUGUGCUCUCAAAACACAAUUCCUCAACACCCCCUUGCCCCCCAAAAAACACUGGAGGGAUACAGUAGAAGAAACUAAAUCGGACAGAAUAGCGGGCUGUGGAGUGGAAGGUUGGUCCCUGCUCCUAGUGUAGUACACAAUUACUUUUGUCUAGGUGCCCAUAUGGGUAUUUCUCAUUGUAGUAACAUUAUUGGGGAUAUUUGGAGAAAAAGGCAGUGUCCAGGGCCGCUGGAGCCAGUGGAGAAUUCACGCCCUUUUCUGCCUCACGCACAUUGUUCUGUGCUCUCCUGCUUUCCUCCGGCCAAAGGAAGAGGGAGAGCAAUGGCUCCCAGUUUUCACUGGAAGUGCAGAUGCUGCUGUUGGGGGUACUGAGAAAGUCUUCAAACCAGGGUGACACCGCAUGGCAUUCAGGUGCCCCCUUCUAAGAAAGCAGAUCGGCCCAGAGACUCCGAAUCAGGGGCACAAGAAAUAUACCCGUGCAAGAAGCUUUAAACCCUGGGAACCGGAUUACGGAGCUGCAAAUGUUUCUCCUUCACAGAGGCUAGUGAAGAUUAGAAGGAGAAAACGGUGAACUUGGGAUGAUAUGUUCUCGGAGCUCCAGAUGUCCUCCCACUCUGUCAGAGCACAGCAGAAUGCGUGGAGGCAGUCAAUGUCAGAGUGCAAAAAAGCACAAUAUGAAUGAGAGGAGAGGUGGCGGGCUGAAUUGUGGGCUGAAGAGAGCAAGUGGCGGGCUGAAGAGGAUAGGUGGCGUCAGCUGGCUGACAGAAGGCAAGAGUCGAUGCUCUGGCUGCUGGAGCAUCAAACUGAUAUGCUCCAGCAUAUGGUUGAGCUGCAGGAAAGGCAGCAGGAGCAGAGACCGCUGCCACAGCCCCUGUGUAACCAACAGCCCUCCUCCCCAAGUUCCAUAGCCUCGUCACCCAAACGCCCAAGAACGCGGUGGAGGGGCCUCCGGCCACCCAGUCUCUCCACCCCAGAUGAUUGCCCAAGCAUCAGAAGGCUGGCCUUCAAUAAGAGUUAAAGUUUUAAAGUUUUAAACUGCAGUGUGUCCUUUUCCUUCCCUCCUCCCCCACCCCUCCCGGGCUACCUUGGCAGUUAUCCCCCUAGUUGUGUGAUGAAUUAAUAAAGAAUGCAUGAAUGUGAA
Long non-coding RNA from Malaclemys terrapin pileata, 1826 nucleotides. RefSeq lists it as uncharacterized. NCBI's taxonomy places the organism in Eukaryota, Metazoa, Chordata, Testudines, Emydidae. The transcript has 2 exons. The record is from RefSeq and is a predicted model, not a curated record.